This 373-nucleotide small RNA is filed under the name Histoplasma capsulatum var. duboisii H88. RNAcentral's name for it is "Histoplasma capsulatum H88 hypothetical RNA". Lineage: Eukaryota; Fungi; Ascomycota; Eurotiomycetes; Onygenales; Ajellomycetaceae. The record is from RNAcentral.
CGGUGUGCUCGAGCCUUCAUGCAGAUAUCCGAAUGGCGUCUCUUGCGCUACCCUUCAAACGUCCAUCAAUCCAUUAUAGCAAACCACACGUAUCACACGGAAGAUGAGUAACGGCAUUGCCCUUGCAUAUUUCACCUGAGGAGUCAGCCUCACUUCAAUUCCCUUUGUUGUAGUUAAAUAUCAAACAUCAAACUUGGUUCAACAAACUCCACUCGAUGCUCCGCAGGUGGGCAGGAAACAAGGGGACAAAAACUCAAAGAGUAGCAUUUGGUGUUUGACUGGAGAAGUCUUUUCUGCCACUCCCCCUGAUUAUGGUGCGGAUCAUUGACUCCCAGAAGGUUCAACGCAACAGGCCAAUGCUCUUUAGCAGAGG